This 940-nucleotide ribosomal RNA is filed under the name uncultured bacterium. RNAcentral's name for it is "bacterial SSU rRNA". It matches the Rfam family "Bacterial small subunit ribosomal RNA", at positions 8 to 916 of the family's 1533-position model. The record is from RNAcentral.
AGAGUUUGAUCAUGGCUCAGGAUGAACGCUGCGGCGUGCUUAAUACAUGCAAGUCGAACGGGCCGAGUUCAGCGGGAGACCUUGGAGGCUCUGGCGUACGAGAAAUCGUACAAGGGGGUUGAUGAGGUGGACCAACGAAUACUUGGUCAGUGGCGGACGGGUGAGUAACACGUAGGUAAUCUACCUCAAGGUGGGGGACAACUGAUCGAAAGGUCAGCUAAUACCGCGUAAGAUCCUUCGGGAUGAAAGGUUUCGAUCGCCUUGAGAUGAGCCUGCGGCCGAUUAGCUAGUUGGCAGGGUAAAAGCCUACCAAGGCGACGAUCGGUAGCUGGUCUGAGAGGAUGAUCAGCCACACUGGAACUGGAACACGGUCCAGACUCCUACGGGGGGCAGCAGUAAGGAAUAUUGCACAAUGGGGGAAACCCUGAUGCAGCAACGCCGCGUGAGCGAAGAAGGCCUUCGGGUUGUAAAGCUCUUUUCUGUGGGACGAGGAAGGACGGUACCACAGGAACAAGUCUCGGCUAACUACGUGCCAGCAGCCGCGGUAACACGUAGGAGACGAGCGUUAUCCGGAUUCACUGGGCGUAAAGGGCAAGUAGGCGGUUGCUUAAGUUGGGCGUGACAAUCUCUGGCUUAACUAGGGAAGGACGUUCAAAACUAGGCAACUUGAGGGCAGGAGAGGAAAGCGGAAUUCCUAGUGUAGCGGUGGAAUGCUCAGAUACUAGGAGGAACACCGGUGGCGAAGGCGGCUUUCUGGUCUGCACCUGACGCUGAGAGGCGAAAGCUAGGGUAGCGAACGGGCUUAGAUACCCUGGUAGUCCACGCCGUAAACGAUGAGUACUAGGUGUCGGGGGUUACCCCCCUCGGUGCCGCAGCUAACGCAUUAAGUACUCCGCCUGGGGAGUACGCUCGCAAGAGUGAAACUCAAAUGAAUUGACGG